Molecule: ribosomal RNA, 470 nt
Filed under: uncultured bacterium
Lineage: Bacteria
Description: bacterial SSU rRNA
Rfam family: Bacterial small subunit ribosomal RNA
Source: RNAcentral
CGAACGCUGGCGGCGUGCCUAACACAUGCAAGUCGAGCGAGGAGAUCCUCGGGAUGAUCCUAGCGGCGGACGGGUGAGUAACACGUGGGCAACCUGCCUCAUAGAGAGGAAUAGCCUUCCGAAAGGGAGAUUAAUACCUCAUAACAUUGCAGUUUCGCAUGGAACAGCAAUUAAAGGAGUAAUCCGCUAUGAGAUGGGCCCGCGGCGCAUUAGCUAGUUGGUGAGGUAAUGGCUCACCAAGGCGACGAUGCGUAGCCGACCUGAGAGGGUGAUCGGCCACAUUGGGACUGAGACACGGCCCAGACUCCUACGGGAGGCAGCAGUGGGGAAUAUUGCACAAUGGGGGAAACCCUGAUGCAAGCAACGCCGCGUGAGUGAUGACGGCCUUCGGGUUGUAAAGCUCUGUCUUCAGGGACGAUAAUGACGGUACCUGAGGAGGAAGCCACGGCUAACUACGUGCCAGCAGCCGC